Molecule: ribosomal RNA, 465 nt
Filed under: uncultured bacterium
Lineage: Bacteria
Description: partial 16S ribosomal RNA
Rfam family: Bacterial small subunit ribosomal RNA
Source: RNAcentral
CCUACGGGGGGCAGCAGUGGGGAAUAUUGCGCAAUGGGCGAAAGCCUGACGCAGCGACGCCGCGUGAGGGAUGAAGGUCUUCGGAUCGUAAACCUCUGUCAGCAGGGAAGAACGGUCACUGUGCUAAUCAGCAGUGAAUUGACGGUACCUGCAAAGGAAGCACCGGCUAACUCCGUGCCAGCAGCCGCGGUAAUACGGAGGGUGCGAGCGUUAAUCGGAAUUACUGGGCGUAAAGCGCUCGUAGGCGGAAUGCCAAGUCAAGGGGGAAAUCCCCGCGCUAAACGUGGGAACUGCCUUUGAAACUGGCAAACUGGAGUGUGUGAGAGGAUAGUGGAAUUCCAGGUGUAGGAGUGAAAUCCGUAGAUAUCUGGAGGAACAUCAGUGGCGAAGGCGACUAUCUGGCACAUAACUGACGCUGAGGAGCGAAAGCGUGGGUAGCAAACAGGAUUAGAUACCCUUGUAGUC